Molecule: ribosomal RNA, 465 nt
Filed under: uncultured bacterium
Lineage: Bacteria
Description: bacterial SSU rRNA
Rfam family: Bacterial small subunit ribosomal RNA
Source: RNAcentral
CCUACGGGGGGCUGCAGUGGGGAAUAUUGGUCAAUGGGCGAAAGCCUGAACCAGCCAUGCCGCGUGGAGGAUGAAGGCCUUCGGGUCGUAAACUCCUUUUCUGAGGGAAGAACCGCCUGGGGAGGAAAUGCCCUGGGUUUGACGGUACCUCAGGAAUAAGCAACGGCCAACUCCGUGCCAGCAGCCGCGGUAAUACGGAGGUUGCAAGCGUUGUUCGGAAUUACUGGGCGUAAAGGGAGCGCAGGCGGCCAAAUCAGUCUGAAGUGAAAUCCCGGAGCUUAACUCCGGACGUGCUUUGGAUACUGUUUGGCUUGAGUUCGCGAGAGGUAAGCGGAAUUCCAGGUGUAGCGGUGAAAUGCGUAGAUAUCUGGAGGAACAUCGGUGGCGAAAGCGGCUUACUGGCGCGAUACUGACGCUGAGGCUCGAAAGCGUGGGGAGCGAACGGGCUUAGAUACCCCAGUAGUC